UCCUUGGCAGUCCAGUAGUUAGGACUCUGUGCUUACACUGCUGAGAGCCAGGUUCAACCCCUGGUUGGGGAA
Molecule: transfer RNA, 72 nt
Filed under: Bos taurus (domestic cattle)
Lineage: Eukaryota; Metazoa; Chordata; Mammalia; Artiodactyla; Bovidae
Also listed under: 4 other names
Rfam family: tRNA
About the family: Transfer RNA (tRNA) molecules are approximately 80 nucleotides in length. Their secondary structure includes four short double-helical elements and three loops (D, anti-codon, and T loops).
Source: Rfam by way of RNAcentral